GGUGAACGCUGGCGGUAGGCCUAACACAUGCGAGUCGAACGGCAGCACAGUAAGAGCUUGCUCUUACGGGUGGCGAGUGGCGGACGGGUGAGGAAUACAUCGGAAUCUACUUUUUCGUGGGGGAUAACGUAGGGAAACUUACGCUAAUACCGCAUACGACCUACGGGUGAAAGCAGGGGAUCUUCGGACCUUGCGCGAUUGAAUGAGCCGAUGUCGGAUUAGCUAGUUGGCGGGGUAAAGGCCCACCAAGGCGACGAUCCGUAGCUGGUCUGAGAGGAUGAUCAGCCACACUGGAAGUGAGACACGGUCCAGACUCCUACGGGAGGCAGCAGUGGGGAAUAUUGGACAAUGGGCGCAAGCCUGAUCCAGCCAUACCGCGUGGGUGAAGAAGGCCUUCGGGUUGUAAAGCCCUUUUGUUGGGAAAGAAAAGCAGCAGGUUAAUACCCCGCUGUUCUGACGGUACCCAAAGAAUAAGCACCGGCUAACUUCGUG
This 492-nucleotide ribosomal RNA is filed under the name uncultured bacterium. RNAcentral describes it as "partial 16S ribosomal RNA". It matches the Rfam family "Bacterial small subunit ribosomal RNA", at positions 28 to 507 of the family's 1533-position model. The record is from RNAcentral.